Molecule: long non-coding RNA, 1749 nt
Organism: Bos taurus (domestic cattle)
Lineage: Eukaryota; Metazoa; Chordata; Mammalia; Artiodactyla; Bovidae
Source: Ensembl
GACGAACAGGCACCGCAGCCCUGCGCUGUGGCCCGUUUCACAGGCAGAGACACCGAGGCCGGAAGGCUCAGCCGCCAGUUUCGCCCCGCCAGGAACCCAGCCAGCCCGGAGCCAGGCUUCAGCGGAGCCGGCUGACCUCUGACCCCGCCGUGUGCCCCUCUGCACUCGACUCGCCCUCGGAGUUAAGAACCUCCACGUUGCCAUCCAUCCAAUGGGGUGCAGAGCAAAGCCUGCCUCCUCCUGGAAGGCUUCCUUGCAUGGAUUUGAACUCUGCAUCUUGAAUCAGCAGCAUGCGUGAACUUAGGCCUAAUCUCUCUCUCAGGGGCCCUGCUCCCAGCCUCCGUGGGUCAGCCUGCCUCCAGGCUUGCCCCUCUGGCUCCUCUCCCACUCUGGCUACCACACACGUCUGGCCCAGUCCCCCCCCCUCCCCUAUAAAUACUCGGAGCCUUCCUGUCACCUGCAGUGCACAGUCCAGACUCUGGCUGGCCGUUGGAGACCUUGCCCCAGGCCUGCCCUCUUCCAUCCCCACCUGGAAUGGCAACCUUGCCCUCCCCCUUAAACGCCGCUUGACCUUUAAAGCACAGCCCCUUGUCACCAGCCCUUCCCCAGCCCCACGGCCCAACUCAGUCCUCUGCCUUCACCCCCAGCUCUACCGUGCCACGAUGAGCUGACCCAAGCCCUUUUCUCAGAGCAAACCACGAGCUCCUCAAGUACAGGAAAGGGAAGAGAGAGGGGAACUCACAUCCUUCAACCCUCGCCACGACCCGAGAGAAAGGUCUCCUGUUCCCAUUUUACAGAGGACAAAAUCGAGGUGCACGGAGUCGAGGUUUCCCCCCACCCCAAGGCCACAGGGUCAGUGACUGGUGAAACUAGGGGCCUUCAGGACGCCCCCUCCUCCCUGGCUUCGAGCCUAGCCCGGUGUGUGUGGGGUGGGGUGGGGGCUGAUCUCUGGGGCGCAGGAAGCGGGGGCGGCCUUGCCAAGCUGAGUCCACCCCAGGCAGGUGUCUGGCUCAGACCUGGUCACCCCUGGAGCCAAGAAGGCAACUCAGUUACUUUCCAGGGGGAGAUAAGCCCUGAAGCUGAUGCUGUCGAGGCCACGAGGUUGUGGGGCAAGCAGCCCAAGAGGCUGUGGGGCCCGGCGUCACUUCCUUUUGAAUACCAUGCACAAGGCGUGCCCGCCUGCGUGGAACCCGGGAAACCAGGGGUGUCUGCUAUAGAGAGGGCUGUGAAGGUGGCUGGCCCGUGCCCCAGCUUUAUGCCAGCGCUCCCAUCUCGGCCAGAAACAAAACCCCAGGCUGGAGCAGGAAGCUGGGCCCCGGCUCCCCCACCAUGCUCCUGGGGGCCGCCACGUUGCUGCGUCUCACCGGUCUCGUUAUACAGAGGCUGCUCAGUAAAUGCUCCUUCCCAUCCCUCUUCCGCGCUGAUUGUGGGGCGUGCCUGCCCCCCGUUCCCCGUGUACUUUGUUUGGCAGUGUUUGGACACCAACUAUGUCGUACGUGUUCUAAAUGAUUAAUGAUCUUUUAUGGAGCACCUCCCGUCUCCCCUUCCCCGCUCCUGAAUGCUUUAGAUAAUUUAUCUCCUAUUAUGACCAGACACCAUUAUCAUGUCCUUGACAGGGUGGCAGAAGUGGGUAAGAAAGCCGGCCAGGGCGCAAUCCCCAUGACUCACUAGCUGCGCAUCCCUGGGCGAACGCCUCGGCCUCACUGUGCCUUGGUAGCCUCCUGCGUAACCCGGGGGUCAUAACACUGC